AACGAACGCUGGCGGCAGGCUUAACACAUGCAAGUCGAACGGGUGUAGCAAUACAUCAGUGGCAGACGGGUGAGUAACACGUGGGAACCUUCCUAGAGGUACGGAACAACUCGGGGAAACUUGAGCUAAUACCGUAUAAGCUCUUGCGAGGAAAGAUUUAUCGCCUUUAGACGGGCCCGCGUAGGAUUAGGUAGUUGGUGGGGUAAUGGCCUACCAAGCCUACGAUACUUAGCUGAUCUGAGAGGAUGAUCAGCCACACUGGGACUGAGACACGGCCCAGACUCCUACGGGAGGCAGCAGUGGGGAAUCUUGGACAAUGGGCGCAAGCCUGAUCCAGCCAUGCCGCGUGAGUGAAGAAGGCCUUCGGGUUGUAAAGCUCUUUUACCAGGGACGAUAAUGACGGUACCUGGAGAAUAAGCCCCGGCAAACUUCGUGCCAGCCGCCGCAGUAA
This 451-nucleotide ribosomal RNA is filed under the name uncultured bacterium. Its description in RNAcentral is "partial 16S ribosomal RNA". It matches the Rfam family "Bacterial small subunit ribosomal RNA", at positions 29 to 523 of the family's 1533-position model. The record is from RNAcentral.